GCGUGUGCGAUGAAGGCCUUCGGGUUGUAAAGCACUUUUGGCAGGAAAGAAACGUCCCGGGUUAAUACCCCGGGGAACUGACGGUACCUGCAGAAUAAGCACCGGCUAACUACGUGCCAGCAGCCGCGGUAAUACGUAGGGUGCAAGCGUUAAUCGGAAUUACUGGGCGUAAAGCGUGCGCAGGCGGUUCGGAAAGAAAGAUGUGAAAUCCCAGAGCUUAACUUUGGAACUGCAUUUUUAACUACCGAGCUAGAGUGUGUCAGACGGAGGUGGAAUUCCGCGUGUAGCAGUGAAAUGCGUAGAUAUGCGGAGGAACACCGAUGGCGAAGGCAGCCUCCUGGGAUAACACUGACGCUCAUGCACGAAAGCGUGGGGAGCAAACAGGAUUAGAUACCCUGGUAGUCCACGCCCUAAACGAUGUCAACUAGCUGUUGGGGCCUUCGGGCCUUGGUAGCGCAGCUAACGCGUGAAGUUGACCGCCUGGGGAGUACGUUCGCCAGGUUAAAACUCAAAGG
RNAcentral lists this ribosomal RNA (515 nucleotides) under uncultured Achromobacter sp. Its description in RNAcentral is "bacterial SSU rRNA". It matches the Rfam family "Bacterial small subunit ribosomal RNA", at positions 399 to 907 of the family's 1533-position model. The record is from RNAcentral. Lineage: Bacteria; Pseudomonadati; Pseudomonadota; Betaproteobacteria; Burkholderiales; Alcaligenaceae.